Molecule: ribosomal RNA, 197 nt
Filed under: uncultured bacterium
Lineage: Bacteria
Description: partial 16S ribosomal RNA
Rfam family: Bacterial small subunit ribosomal RNA
Source: RNAcentral
ACGCUCGACACCUACGGGAGGCAGCAGUGGGGAAUAUUGCACAAUGGGGGAAACCCUGAUGCAGCGACGCCGCGUGAGCGAAGAAGUAUUUCGGUAUGUAAAGCUCUAUCAGCAGGGAAGAAACUGACGGUACCUGACUAAGAAGCACCGGCUAAAUACGUGCCACAGCCGCGGUAAUCUGAGGCGGCUGGCAAGGC